This 274-nucleotide unclassified non-coding RNA is filed under the name Glomeraceae sp. RNAcentral's name for it is "partial contains 5.8S ribosomal RNA and internal transcribed spacer 2". The stretch from base 1 to 71 matches the Rfam family "5.8S ribosomal RNA", at positions 84 to 154 of the family's 154-position model. Lineage: Eukaryota; Fungi; Glomeromycota; Glomeromycetes; Glomerales; Glomeraceae. The record is from RNAcentral.
GUGAAUCAUCAAAUUUUUGAACGCAAAUUGCGCUUCCUGGCAUCCCGGGAAGUAUGCCUGUUUGAGGGUCAGUAUUAAUAAAAAUCCGGCUUAGUUACAAAUUGUCACUUUUCUGGAGUUUGGGCUAUCUUAACAUUUUUGGUUAAGAGGCUUAAAAUUGACCUUUUUCACGCAUUUUUAAACGUACAAAAAUUUUUUUUAUUCGUCUAUUCUUAAUGCCAAAAUCUUAUUAGAAACGACAACAUCGUAUGGCUUCGUGUCUAUAAAUUUUUCA